UACAACAGUGAGAGAGUGUAGUAACAGUAGAGAAAGUGAGAGAAAGAGCGCAUAGAGUUUGAACUUAUGAGAGAUAUGCAAUGUGUUUUUUGGAAAGAAGGUUUAGAAAAAUUGUAUUCCUGUCUGUGUCAAGUGAGAAAAGAGGAGUAAUUUAUAAUACUGAAAAGGAGUAAACAAAUAAGGUAUAAAUCCAUAUAUAAAGAAUUGAGUAUCAAUCAUAAUCAAAUAAGCAUAAGGAUUCCCCUUUAAUUAAGGAAUCAAAGUCAAACGGUAAUAAGCAGUCAUUUUAAAAAGAAAGGAAUCACAAAGUAUGGCACGGUCACGUAAGGGAACAAAAUAGUACAAGGUAUACAAUUAAGACUAGUAUGAUACCUAACCAGGGAAAUAUGUCAAGCAAAUAAAUCAACAUACUUAUGCACACAUAUAGGGAAAAAUACAACUUUAAUUCUGGAAAAUAGUUUUCAAAUUAAUGAACGUGAUUGAAAACUUAGGAGAUCAGUUAUUAAUUGAGGAAUGUAUUCCACUAAUUGAGGAAGAAAUUUGAAAUCAAUACCAAACUAUAAGGAGAAUACACAAAAUCACAAUUUAAGGCUAGUAAUCACAAUCUUAAAGAAAGAUUUUAAGAAUAAGUAUAAAAUCACCAUAUAAACAGCCAGAAAAACCUUAAGAGAAGAACACAGUAUGGUAGGGGAAUGAAACACUAGUACCAAAAAUCAAAGUAAAGAGCGUGGAACUCAAAGAAGAACCUAGAGGAACACGUUAACAAGAAGAUAAUACAGAUACAAACUUAUAGAUCUAGGGUUUCAUCAGACUUAAAUAAAAUGUUUAGAAGUAGUAUUGAGAGUUACAGAUUAGUAAUCAAAAUCAGAAAAGUAAAGUGUUUUCGAAAGGGGGUUAAGAAACCCUAAUUUCAAAAGAGGAGCCAAAACGUUUGAAACUUGAAUAAUCAAAGAUGUCAAGUAAUAGGCAGUGUAGAUGACAAAGGUUAAACCAAAAGAAAAAUCAUUUAAAUACAGAGACCAAAGAGAUUUAGGCAAAAAAUUAGGGUUUGCAAAAUAAAUGAGGGAAAUAAGAAACAUGGCAGCAAAACUCGUAUAUAAUGCCAUAUAAGGCAUCAUUGGACCAAAACCAUCAGAUAAAAGAUGGAAACACACCCAAGUGAAGUUUCAGUGACCGUCUUCAAUGGAGGAAGCUGUUGGGCUUCAAGCAUUAGAGAGAAAUAAACGAUAAAAGGAUUCCAUGGCUACUAGAGGUCAAGAGAAGUGAGGGAGGAGUAGGGUCAGAGAGGCGAUGAUCUUCAUCAAGAAAAGAAGGGAUCAGAAUGUCCUAGAGAGAAGGGAGAGCACUUGUUAGAGAGAUAGAG
RNAcentral lists this long non-coding RNA (1363 nucleotides) under Nicotiana benthamiana. Its description in RNAcentral is "long non-coding RNA (NBEN_LNC031017)". The record is from RNAcentral. Lineage: Eukaryota; Viridiplantae; Streptophyta; Magnoliopsida; Solanales; Solanaceae.